This 77-nucleotide non-coding RNA is filed under the name Sporomusa sp. KB1. The record is from RNAcentral. Lineage: Bacteria; Bacillati; Bacillota; Negativicutes; Selenomonadales; Sporomusaceae.
AGGAGCCGUAUACCGAACGGUACGUACGGUUCGGUGGGAGGUCGGCUGACUCACUAAGGGUCAGCCUCCUACCCGAU